GUUUUGUGCAUUGUUGCUAUGCAGCCAUCUGGUAGCCCCUGGAUUUCUGGAAUCUGCCAGUGGGGACAUGUGCUGACAUUCAGAAGAGAGCUCAUUAGCAGACCUCACCAACAGCAGAUGACACUUCAGCUAACCUGAGAGUCAGUCUGGAGGCAGUGCAGGAGCCAUCAGGACCACGCCAUGCACUGAGUAAUUUCCCUUUCAGAAAGCUUUAACAACAGCCCUCUGCCUCUGGACCCCACUCAGGCACCUGCUGUUCUGCUUGGUCUGUACCAGCCUGUUUCCAUCUCUACCAGAUUCUGCCCACUGUUGCCAAGCAUGGAGCACCUCGAAGGAGGCCAGGAGAGGAGUAAGAUCUGCUCACCAGGCGUGCAAGAAAGGAGCAGAGUUGAGGUAUGGCCCCAUUGAAACAGCACGUGAUGUGGCUACCUGGCAGCAGUGGUUUUCACUCUACAGAGAAACAACCAAAGCAGUUCCCAAUAUUUAAUUUUGAACUCAU
RNAcentral lists this long non-coding RNA (499 nucleotides) under Coturnix japonica (Japanese quail). RNAcentral describes it as "lncRNA (ENSCJPG00005000399.1)". Lineage: Eukaryota; Metazoa; Chordata; Aves; Galliformes; Phasianidae. The record is from RNAcentral.